Mustela erminea (ermine) is the source of this 1289-nucleotide long non-coding RNA. RefSeq lists it as uncharacterized. The record is from RefSeq and is a predicted model, not a curated record. NCBI's taxonomy places the organism in Eukaryota, Metazoa, Chordata, Mammalia, Carnivora, Mustelidae. The transcript is spliced from 4 exons.
CCGACCUCCCCACCUCCAGUUCUUUCAGCCACUGCUGGGUGUCAGAGUUAAAGGGGAGGGCCCAGAAAGCAUGGGCAGUUUGCAGGGAAAGACCUUCUGGCUAACCCGCAGGGGUGGGAAUCCCCCAGCCCCCCAACUUUGGGACAGUGGGAAGAUACUGGGGGAUCCGGCAGAAAGGUCAGGUGCUCCACCGGGAUGAUGGACACGAAUGGGGAGCCCUACAGGAUUACCACACCCACCGUCCAAGCUGUGCGUGCCCAUGUGAGUUGCUCUCCCCGAGGAGGGGUUAUAUUGUGUGAGUCUGUGAUCUGGCGGUUCCUGUCUCCUUGCCUGUCUGUGCCAAGCUCCAAGGUGAGGCGGCAUCUACACUUCACUGUGUCCAGGGCAAACUGAGGACCUGGCCAGAGCCGUCAGACUGGGGAGGAGACCCACAAAGCCUGUCUGUCCAACAGGCUGAGGAGCACAGCACCCGUGGCCUUGGCUGUCUCUACCACUUAACUCCCUCGCGUAGGCUGCCAACACACACUCACUUAAUUGCUUCUAACAUGCCUGUUCCCGGCGCACGCGCGCAUGUGGAGAAGCAAGUGUGCGGCACGGCAUCUCGGGCACGGAGGGAACACCCGGCACCGGCGGCAGCCCUUCCAGCAGCAGGCCCCAGUCUCUCCUGCUCCACGUUCGGCCUCCCCUUCUAGGAAGUUUCAGCCAAGAGGACAGAUUCCCUUCCUCGGCCACUGGGGCUGUGGUUGCUGGCUCAAGGUCAUUUGGAUAAACCUGGGCAGUGUUGCUCACUCGCUGCCUCCGGCCAGCCGCUGCUCCUGCAGACACUUAGUGAAGCCGACCAGAGACCAUUAAGACAGAAAUCGAUGGGCCUAGAGCGCACGCUUCCUUACCUGCCAGGGAAAGGAGCUCAGGAUCACUCUGCUGUGACAAGCCGGUGGAGAGGGUUCCAGGCCGGACUUCGAAUACAGCGUUCAGCACUGCGCCUGCCAGGAGGAAGCCCUCAGGGUGGGCAGGGUCGCUUGGGGUAACGGCCCUCAACCAGCAAUCCUGACCCGUGGGGGUGGUCUCCUGCACCUGUGUCGCCACCUCAGACGUGAUCCCUCGCUCUCGGACUUGGUGUAGGGGACCACUCCCACCUGAACCCCAGGCCCACCACUUGGGAGCUGUGUGGCCAUGGGCGAGUUCCUGACUCCUCUGACCCUCAGUUUCCUUAGCUGUAAACUGGGGUCUCGAUGUGCCCUUUGCAGGGUGACUGGGAGGAUUAAAUGGAAGAAAUACGUAAAACGCUU